RNAcentral lists this transfer RNA (71 nucleotides) under Ictidomys tridecemlineatus (thirteen-lined ground squirrel). Its description in RNAcentral is "Spermophilus tridecemlineatus (thirteen-lined ground squirrel) tRNA". It matches the Rfam family "tRNA". From Rfam's summary of the family: Transfer RNA (tRNA) molecules are approximately 80 nucleotides in length. Lineage: Eukaryota; Metazoa; Chordata; Mammalia; Rodentia; Sciuridae. The record is from Rfam by way of RNAcentral.
GGGGUUGUGGCUCAGUGGUAGAGCACUUGCUUCACAUGUGCGAGGCCCUGGGUUAGAACCCCAGCACUCCA